This 214-nucleotide long non-coding RNA is filed under the name Lathyrus oleraceus (garden pea). RNAcentral's name for it is "Pisum sativum (pea) long non-coding RNA (PSAT_LNC000309)". Lineage: Eukaryota; Viridiplantae; Streptophyta; Magnoliopsida; Fabales; Fabaceae. The record is from RNAcentral.
AGCAAUUGUUUUCUCUUCUCCUACCUCUAUUUUUUUUGAAGGAGUAUGUAUUGACAUGUAUUGAAAUACUACAAACAUAAUUCCUUUUUUUUCUUCCUCUUAUCCUUCUAUUUUUUCGUUCCUUUUUUUUCUUUUCUAUUUUUUUUUUCUUUUUCUGCCAACUUCUGAAACAUUACAAAUAUAGUUAUUCAACCCCACACAAGUCCAAACAACA